RNAcentral lists this ribosomal RNA (499 nucleotides) under uncultured bacterium. RNAcentral's name for it is "bacterial SSU rRNA". It matches the Rfam family "Bacterial small subunit ribosomal RNA", at positions 8 to 518 of the family's 1533-position model. The record is from RNAcentral.
AGGGUUCGAUUCUGGCUCAGGAUGAACGCUGGCGGCGUGCCUAACACAUGCAAGUCGAACGAGCGAGAGAUGAAACCUAGUGAUCUCGAGCGAGUGGCGGACGGGUGAGUAACGCGUGGGUAACCUGCCUUACAGAGGGGGAUAACAGUCUGAAAAGACUGCUAAUACCGCAUAAGCACACAGUACCGCAUGGUACAGGGUGAAAAGAUUUAUCACUGUAAGAUGGACCCGCGUCUGAUUAGCCAGUUGGCAGGGUAACGGCCUACCAAAGCGACGAUCAGUAGCCGACCUGAGAGGGUGAUCGGCCACAUUGGGACUGAGACACGGCCCAAACUCCUACGGGAGGCAGCAGUGGGGGAUAUUGCACAAUGGAGGAAACUCUGAUGCAAGCGACGCCGCGUGAGUGAAGAAGUAUUUCGGUAUGUAAAGCUCUAUCAGCAGGGAAGAUAAUGACAGUACCUGACCAAGAAGCCCCGGCUAACUACGUGCCAGCCGCCGC